CGCUGGAAGGUGCGGAGGGAGCACGCUGGUCUUAAUAGCCAGAGGUCGCAGGUUCGAAUCCUGCUCCAGCAA
This 72-nucleotide transfer RNA is filed under the name Caudoviricetes sp. Its description in RNAcentral is "tRNA-Leu". It matches the Rfam family "tRNA". From Rfam's summary of the family: Transfer RNA (tRNA) molecules are approximately 80 nucleotides in length. Their secondary structure includes four short double-helical elements and three loops (D, anti-codon, and T loops). Lineage: Duplodnaviria; Heunggongvirae; Uroviricota; Caudoviricetes. The record is from RNAcentral.